GUUUUAAGACCGGAGCUAUCAACCACUCAGCCAUCUCUCCCCGAGACA
This 48-nucleotide transfer RNA is filed under the name Musa rosea. RNAcentral describes it as "partial tRNA-Ser". Lineage: Eukaryota; Viridiplantae; Streptophyta; Magnoliopsida; Zingiberales; Musaceae. The record is from RNAcentral.